This is a long non-coding RNA of Engraulis encrasicolus (European anchovy), 1236 nucleotides long. RefSeq lists it as uncharacterized. The record is from RefSeq and is a predicted model, not a curated record. Lineage: Eukaryota; Metazoa; Chordata; Actinopteri; Clupeiformes; Engraulidae. The transcript has 6 exons.
UGGGCUUGUGCUAAGCUCACUACUUCUGCUGCUGACCCCUUGCUGCUUCUGCUGCUUACUCGCUUGCUAACUCUACUGAUGCUGUCGUUUGCUGCUCUAUUUAGUUGCUUUGCACAAACUGGGGUUUUAAUUUGGACUUGAUUGGACUUCCAUUUUAGCAUUGGACAUUUAGGUGCAUCUAACAUGGAAGGUUCCCGCUUCAAUAAUGAACUGUUACAAGUUAAAUUGUAACUUGAACUUUUUUGUCAGCUCGCGACUCUUCAGCACACCUGCAACUUUGUCUGGUCACGGACAAACACAAAGAAAAGAAAGAAACCAAGCUGGAGCAGAAGCAGCAACAGAAGUAGCAGAAGAUGUGUGUCUGGCUGUGGCAGUCCACCCAUCAGGUCCUGAAGUCUACAUGGGAAUCCCAAAUGCUGCCAGGCUCAACGGAGGAGGAGGAGGAGGAGGAGGAGGCAGGUGUUUAAAAGCGCAUCGACUUAGAUGACCCCAUCCCUCCAGCCAACUUCACCAGUCGCUCCCCAUCUCAUCAAGGAGAUUUCCAGGUGUAAUUUUCCAAUGAAGUGUGCCUACAUAACCAAGACCAUAGAAACGCAUGCUGCCAACCACAAUGAAAACUUUGGAAAAUGUCACCGGAGAGUACUUGUAGGUUUGAGGAAAAUCGCCUGUGCCUGUUUUCAGCGCAAAUUUUUGCUUGAGGCUGCCUUGCUUGUUGAGACUGGUAUUGCUGCUUGUAUACUGGGAAGCAUCUACUUGGUCCUUGUUCAGUGGACCAGUUAUUCAGAGGGGAUAUUGUUUUUGUUGCGAGACAAGUGGUCAGUGAUAUGUGGGGUGGGGAAAAAAAUAUGUAUUACAUAUGAGUGUGACAGCAAAAGUUAUUGGGUGCAAUCAGACACAUUUUGUCAAUAGCUGUACACCUAUGCAACUUUGGGCGUGUCCAUAAGGGUGCAUCUGGUAGCAGUGUGCGGUGUGAUCUUACAUUGUGAUUGAUUUUAAUAACUGCUUUGUGAUAUACAACAUGGAUUAGGUGCCAUCAAAGUUCAUUGUAAAUAAUGUUCGUGGCCUCUCUAUUUCUCAGUUAAUAAUCAGUCAUUUGUGCCUGCACAGACAGUUGAAUAUUAACUGUAGUGUUUCUUUUCAUCUGCUUUUUGUGUGUAGUAUCUUUCACAGGUGUGUGAAGAAUCAACCCCGAGAGAUUGCCUACUGACAUGGACGCUAUCAAAGCAAUAAAUAAUA